Molecule: ribosomal RNA, 404 nt
Filed under: Actinomycetes bacterium
Lineage: Bacteria; Bacillati; Actinomycetota; Actinomycetes
Description: Actinobacteria bacterium partial 16S ribosomal RNA
Rfam family: Bacterial small subunit ribosomal RNA
Source: RNAcentral
UGGGGAAUAUUGGACAAUGGGCGCAAGCCUGAUCCAGCCAUGCCGCGUGAGUGAUGAAGGCCCUAGGGUUGUAAAGCUCUUUCACCGGUGAAGAUAAUGACGGUAACCGGAGAAGAAGCCCCGACUAACUUCGUGCCAGCAGCCGCGGUAAUACGAAGGGGGCUAGCGUUGUUCGGAUUUACUGGGCGUAAAGCGCACGUAGGCGGACUUUUAAGUCAGGGGUGAAAUCCCGGGGCUCAACCCCGGAACUGCCUUUGAUACUGGAAGUCUUGAGUAUGGUAGAGGUGAGUGGAAUUCCGAGUGUAGAGGUGAAAUUCGUAGAUAUUCAGAGGAACACCAGUGGCGAAGGCGGCUCACUGGACCAUUACUGACGCUGAGGUGCGAAAGCGUGGGGAGCAAACAGG